RNAcentral lists this transfer RNA (69 nucleotides) under Choloepus hoffmanni (Hoffmann's two-fingered sloth). RNAcentral's name for it is "tRNA-Ala". It matches the Rfam family "tRNA". From Rfam's summary of the family: Transfer RNA (tRNA) molecules are approximately 80 nucleotides in length. The record is from RNAcentral. Lineage: Eukaryota; Metazoa; Chordata; Mammalia; Pilosa; Megalonychidae.
GAGGAUUUAGCUUAAUUAAAGUGUUUGAUUUGCAUUCAAUAGAUGUAAGGUAGUGUCUUGCAGUCCUUG